AUACGGAGGGUGCAAGCGUUACUCGGAAUCACUGGGCGUAAAGGACGCGUAGGCGGGUUGGUAAGUCAGGUGUGAAAUCCUACAGCUUAACUGUAGAACUGCACUUGAAACUACCAACCUAGAGUAUGGAAGGGGCAGAUGGAAUUAGUGGUGUAGGGGUAAAAUCCGUAGAUAUCACUAGGAAUACCGAAAGCGAAGGCGAUCUGCUGGGACAUUACUGACGCUGAGGCGUGAAAGCGUGGGGAGCAAACAGGAUUAGAAACCCCAGUAGUCC
This 274-nucleotide ribosomal RNA is filed under the name uncultured bacterium. Its description in RNAcentral is "partial 16S ribosomal RNA". It matches the Rfam family "Bacterial small subunit ribosomal RNA", at positions 523 to 796 of the family's 1533-position model. The record is from RNAcentral.